This 343-nucleotide ribosomal RNA is filed under the name Aneurinibacillus migulanus. RNAcentral's name for it is "bacterial LSU rRNA". It matches the Rfam family "Bacterial large subunit ribosomal RNA", at positions 2582 to 2925 of the family's 2925-position model. Lineage: Bacteria; Bacillati; Bacillota; Bacilli; Caryophanales; Paenibacillaceae. The record is from RNAcentral.
CGCCCAUUAAAGCGGUACGCGAGCUGGGUUCAGAACGUCGUGAGACAGUUCGGUCCCUAUCUGUCGUGGGCGCAGGAAAUUUGAGAGGAGCUGUCCUUAGUACGAGAGGACCGGGAUGGACGCACCGCUGGUGCACCAGUUGUUCCGCCAGGAGCACAGCUGGGUAGCUAUGUGCGGUCGGGAUAAGCGCUGAAAGCAUCUAAGCGUGAAGCCCCCCUCAAGAUGAGAUUUCCCACAGCAUAAGCUGGUAAGACCCCUUAAAGAUGAUGAGGUAGAUAGGUUCGGGGUGGAAGCGUGGCAACACGCGGAGCUGACGAAUACUAAUCGGUCGAGGGCUUAACCA